This is a non-coding RNA of Bacillus sp. FJAT-22058, 43 nucleotides long. The record is from Rfam. NCBI's taxonomy places the organism in Bacteria, Bacillati, Bacillota, Bacilli, Caryophanales, Bacillaceae.
ACGAUGUUCCGCUGCAAACAAUAAGUAUUUGCAAGAGCGUCCA